This 499-nucleotide ribosomal RNA is filed under the name uncultured soil bacterium. Its description in RNAcentral is "bacterial SSU rRNA". It matches the Rfam family "Bacterial small subunit ribosomal RNA", at positions 26 to 529 of the family's 1533-position model. The record is from RNAcentral.
AGAAUGAACGCUGGCGGCGUGCCUUACACAUGCAAGUCGAGCGAGGCGCGGUAGCAAUACCGCAGUCGAGCGGCGAACGGGUGAGUAACACGUGGGUGACCUGCCUCUAGGUGGGGGAUAACCCGGGGAAACUCGGGCUAAUACCGCAUAACAUCGUGAGAUCAAAGAGGGGCGCAAGCCUCUCGCCGAGAGAGGGGCCCGCGUCUGAUUAGCUAGUUGGUGAGGUAACGGCUCACCAAGGCGACGAUCAGUAGCGGCCUGAGAGGGCGAUCGGCCGACACUGGAACUGAGACACGGUCCAGACUCUACGGAGGCAGCAGUGGGAAUUUGCGCAAUGGGGGAAACCCUGACGCAGCAACGCCGCGUGGAGGAUGAAGGUCCUUGGAUUGUAAACUCCUGUCAGCAGGAAGAAGGCCUGGGUGAAUACCCCCAGGACUUGACGGUACCUGCCAGAGGAAGCCCCGGCUAACUCUAGUGUCAGCAGCCGCGGUAAUCCUGA